GAUGAACGCUGGCGGCGUGCUUAACACAUGCAAGUCGAACGGGAAUUAUUUUAUUGAAACUUCGGUCGAUUUAAUUUAAUUCUAGUGGCGGACGGGUGAGUAACGCGUGGGUAACCUGCCUUAUACAGGGGGAUAACAGUCAGAAAUGGCUGCUAAUACCGCAUAAGCGCACAGAGCUGCAUGGCUCAGUGUGAAAAACUCCGGUGGUAUAAGAUGGACCCGCGUUGGAUUAGCUUGUUGGCAGGGUAACGGCCUACCAAGGCGACGAUCCAUAGCCGGCCUGAGAGGGUGAACGGCCACAUUGGGACUGAGACACGGCCCAGACUCCUACGGGAGGCAGCAGUGGGGAAUAUUGCACAAUGGGGGAAACACUGAUGCAGCGACGCCGCGUGAAGGAAGAAGUAUCUCGGUAUGUAAACUUCUAUCAGCAGGGAAGAUAGUGACGGUACCUGACUAAGAAGCCCCGGCUAACUACGUG
Molecule: ribosomal RNA, 478 nt
Filed under: uncultured bacterium
Lineage: Bacteria
Description: partial 16S ribosomal RNA
Rfam family: Bacterial small subunit ribosomal RNA
Source: RNAcentral